RNAcentral lists this ribosomal RNA (253 nucleotides) under uncultured bacterium. Its description in RNAcentral is "partial 16S ribosomal RNA". It matches the Rfam family "Bacterial small subunit ribosomal RNA", at positions 524 to 776 of the family's 1533-position model. The record is from RNAcentral.
UACGUAGGGGGCAAGCGUUAUCCGGAAUUACUGGGUGUAUAGGGAGCGUAGACGGUAAUGUAAGUCUGGAGUGAAAGGCGGGGGCCCAACCCCCGGACUGCUCUGGAAACUAUGUUACUAGAGUGCAGGAGAGGUAAGCGGAAUUCCUAGUGUAGCGGUGAAAUGCGUAGAUAUUAGGAGGAACACCAGUGGCGAAGGCGGCUUACUGGACUGUAACUGACGUUGAGGCUCGAAAGCGUGGGGAGCAAACAGG